GACGAACGCUGGCGGCGUGCUUAACACAUGCAAGUCGAACGGAAAGGCCCUGCUUUUGUUGGGUGCUCGUGUGGCGCACGGGUGUGUAUCACGUGAGUAUCCUGCCCUUGUCUUUGGGAUAUCUUCACGAAACUCGGGCUCAUACCGCAUAGGAGCUCCUGCUGCAUGUUGUUGUUUGGUAAGUUUCGGCGGUUGGGGAUCGACUGGCGGCUUAUCCGCUUGUUUGUGGAGUUGUUGAUUACCAAGGCUUUGACGGGUAGCCGGCAUGUGAGGUGGACCGGCGACAAUGGGACUGAGAGAGGGACCAGACUCCAACGGGAGGCAGCAGGGGAGAAUAUUGCAGAAUGGGGGGAAGCCUGAGGCAGCAACGCCGGGAGCGGGAUGACGGCCUUCGGGUUGUAAACAGAUGUCGAAUGUGACGAAGCGUGAGUGACGGUAAUGGGUAAAGAAGCAACGGCUAACUACGUG
Molecule: ribosomal RNA, 468 nt
Filed under: uncultured bacterium
Lineage: Bacteria
Description: partial 16S ribosomal RNA
Rfam family: Bacterial small subunit ribosomal RNA
Source: RNAcentral